Artibeus jamaicensis (Jamaican fruit-eating bat) is the source of this 131-nucleotide small nucleolar RNA. NCBI's taxonomy places the organism in Eukaryota, Metazoa, Chordata, Mammalia, Chiroptera, Phyllostomidae. The record is from RefSeq and is a predicted model, not a curated record.
AUGCUGCCUUUGAGUCCCCACUGCGCCUGUGUGUGGUGAGAGGUCAAGCUGCAGCACCAGAGCAGGAGCUUACGUGUAACUGGAGCCAACUGCUCCUGGGCCAGUGGCCUUUUUAACCUCAAACGACAUGG